RNAcentral lists this ribosomal RNA (497 nucleotides) under uncultured bacterium. Its description in RNAcentral is "partial 16S ribosomal RNA". It matches the Rfam family "Bacterial small subunit ribosomal RNA", at positions 28 to 507 of the family's 1533-position model. The record is from RNAcentral.
GACGAACGCUGGCGGCGUGCCUAAUACAUGCAAGUUGAGCGCUGAAGGUUGGUACUUGUACCAACUGGAUGAGCAGCGAACGGGUGAGUAACGCGUGGGGAAUCUGCCUUUAAGCGGGGGACAACAUUUGGAAACGAAUGCUAAUACCGCAUAAAAACUUUAAACACAAGUUUUAAGUUUGAAAGAUGCAAUUGCAUCACUCAAAGAUGAUCCCGCGUUGUAUUAGCUAGUUGGUGAGGUAAAGGCUCACCAAGGCGAUGAUACAUAGCCGACCUGAGAGGGUGAUCGGCCACAUUGGGACUGAGACACGGCCCAAACUCCUACGGGAGGCAGCAGUAGGGAAUCUUCGGCAAUAGACGAAAGUCUGACCGAGCAACGCCGCGUGAGUGAAGAAGGUUUUCGGAUCGUAAAACUCUGUUGGUAGAGAAGAACGUUGGUGAGAGUGGAAAGCUCAUCAAGUGACGGUAACUACCCAGAAAGGGACGGCUAACUACGUG